UACGUAGGUCCCGAGCGUUGUCCGGAUUUAUUGGGCGUAAAGCGAGCGCAGGUGGUUUAUUAAGUCUGGUGUAAAAGGCAGUGGCUCAACCAUUGUAUGCAUUGGAAACUGGUAGACUUGAGUGCAGGAGAGGAGAGUGGAAUUCCAUGUGUAGCGGUGAAAUGCGUAGAUAUCGGGAGGAAGGCCGGUGGCGAAGGCGGCCCUCUGGGCCUGUACUGACACUGAGGUGCGAAAGCGUGGGGAGCAAACAGG
RNAcentral lists this ribosomal RNA (252 nucleotides) under uncultured microorganism. RNAcentral describes it as "partial 16S ribosomal RNA". It matches the Rfam family "Bacterial small subunit ribosomal RNA", at positions 524 to 776 of the family's 1533-position model. The record is from RNAcentral.